GAAGAAUAUUGCACAAUGGAGGAAACUCUGAUGCAGCAACGCCGCGUGAAGGAUGAAGGUUUUCGGAUUGUAAACUUCUUUUGUCGGGGACGAAAAAAAUGACGGUACCUGACGAAUAAGCCACGGCUAACUACGUGCCAGCAGCCGCGGUAAUACGUAGGUGGCAAGCGUUAUCCGGAUUUACUGGGUGUAAAGGGCGAGUAGGCGGGAUCAUAAGUCAGAUGUGAAAUCUGGGGGCUCAACCCCCAAACUGCAUUUGAAACUAUGAUUCUUGAGUGAUGGAGAGGCAGGCGGAAUUCCCGGUGUAGCGGUGGAAUGCGUAGAGAUCGGGAGGAACACCAGUGGCGAAGGCGGCCUGCUGGACAUUAACUGACGCUGAGGAGCGAAAGCGUGGGGAGCAAAC
This 403-nucleotide ribosomal RNA is filed under the name uncultured bacterium. RNAcentral describes it as "bacterial SSU rRNA". It matches the Rfam family "Bacterial small subunit ribosomal RNA", at positions 356 to 773 of the family's 1533-position model. The record is from RNAcentral.